UCGAGGAUCUUCGGCAAUGGGCGCAAGCCUGACCGAGCGACGCCGCGUGCGCGAUGAAGGCCUUCGGGUUGUAAAGCGCUGUCGAGGGGGAGGAAAGCCCGUAAGGGUCUGACCUAUCCCUGGAGGAAGCACGGGCUAAGUUCGUGCCAGCAGCCGCGGUAAGACGAACCGUGCGAACGUUGUUCGGAAUCACUGGGCUUAAAGGGCGCGUAGGCGGGCGACCAAGUCAGGGUGAAAUCUUUCGGCUUAACCGGAAAACAGCUUCUGAUACUGGUCGUCUGGAGGGAGGUAGGGGCAUGUGGAACUUCUGGUGGAGCGGUGAAAUGCGUAGAUAUCAGAAGGAACGCCGGUGGCGAAAGCGACGUGCUGGACCUUCUCUGACGCUGAGGCGCGAAAGCUAGGGGAGCAAACGGGAUUAGAUACCCCCGGUAGUCCUAGCCCUAAACGACUGGGUACUAGAUUGUGGACUUAACAUGGGUUCACAGUCGAAGCAAAAGUGUUAAGUACCCCGCCUGGGGAGUAG
RNAcentral lists this ribosomal RNA (523 nucleotides) under uncultured Planctomycetota bacterium. RNAcentral describes it as "bacterial SSU rRNA". It matches the Rfam family "Bacterial small subunit ribosomal RNA", at positions 355 to 883 of the family's 1533-position model. The record is from RNAcentral. Lineage: Bacteria; Pseudomonadati; Planctomycetota.